CUAACUACAAUAUGCUAACAUUAGCCUGCUAGCACAACAAUGCCGGCCACAGGCUCGAGCUAAAACAUGCAUUCUUUCUAGAUAUUGAAACACCAUCGAUUGUUUGUUUGAUCAAUGUGGUUAUUCUCAUUUGCUGCUUUAUAGUACAACAGAACUGGCUUCGAAGCGUUAGGCAACAUCUGAAUAGGCCAAGCCGAAGUAGUUGCAAAGCUAACGAGUUGCAUGUCGAGGAGGCUCUGUUCAGGAGCAGGGAACAAGGGAACAGCGUCCAGACGACCCUCGGAAGCUUGGACCAUUGGCACCCAUUCCCCCCCACCCACUGCAGAACUUGCUGAGAAACAACUCAGACGAGGUCUUGAUCCAGCACAGCCAGACAACAAGAGCUGUUGUGAAAGCACAUGGCCUCCUUUUGUAUGAACAUUCAUCUGCAGUUUCUGGCUACAAGUACAGCUGCUGUAAUAUAGGAGGACUGCAUGCUGUGGUAAAACCAGCAAUUUGCUCCUCGCAUCAAA
This is a long non-coding RNA of Labrus mixtus (cuckoo wrasse), 512 nucleotides long. RefSeq lists it as uncharacterized. Lineage: Eukaryota; Metazoa; Chordata; Actinopteri; Labriformes; Labridae. The transcript has 2 exons. The record is from RefSeq and is a predicted model, not a curated record.